UACAGAGGGGGCCAGCGUUAUUCGGAAUUACUGGGCGUAAAGGGCUCGUAGGUGGCCAACUAAGUCAGACGUGAAAUCCCUCAGCUUAACUGGGGAACUGCGUCUGAUACUGGAUGGCUUGAGUUUGGGAGAGGGAUGCGGAAUUCCAGGUGUAGCGGUGAAAUGCGUAGAUAUCUGGAGGAACACCGGUGGCGAAGGCGGCAUCCUGGACCAACACUGACACUGAGGAGCGAAAGCCAGGGGAGCAAACGGG
Molecule: ribosomal RNA, 253 nt
Filed under: uncultured bacterium
Lineage: Bacteria
Description: partial 16S ribosomal RNA
Rfam family: Bacterial small subunit ribosomal RNA
Source: RNAcentral